AGCAGUCGGAGCACCCUUCGGGGUGUGACGGCGUGCCUUUUGUAGAAUGAGCCAGCGAGUCGCUGGCGCGGGGCGAGGUUAACCGAAAGGGAGCCGGAGCGAAAGCGAGCCUUAACAGGGCGACUUGAGUCCCGCGCCGCGGACGCGAAGCCGGGUGAGCUAUCCGUGGGCAGGCUGAAGCGGGGUAAGACCCCGUGGAGGGCCGAACGCACGUCGGUUGAAAACGGCGGCGAUGACCUGCGGAUAGGGGUGAAAGGCCAAUCAAACCCGGAGAUAUCUCGUUCUCCCCGAAAUAGCUUUAGGGCUAGCGUCGCGCGUUCACCGCCGGAGGUAGAGCACCGGAUGGACGAGGGGGCUUCGCCGCCUACCGAAUCCAACCGAACUCCGAAUGCCGGCGGCCCAGAGCGCGGCAGUCAGAGCAUGUGGGCUAAGCUGUGUGCUCGAGAGGGAAACAGCCCGGACCGCCCGCUAAGGUCCCCAAGUUCCAGCCGAGUGGCAAAGGAUGUGCGUCCGCCCAGACAA
Molecule: ribosomal RNA, 522 nt
Filed under: uncultured bacterium
Lineage: Bacteria
Description: bacterial LSU rRNA
Rfam family: Bacterial large subunit ribosomal RNA
Source: RNAcentral